CUUUUGCAUCAUGAUUUAGCAAGUCCCCAACAAGCAAAAUGCCUUUUAGUUUGUUACCCCGAAACUAGACGAGCUACUCCAAGGCAGCCUAACUAUAGGGUGAACCCGUCUCUGUGGCAAAAGAGUGGGAAGACCUUUGAGUAGUGGUGAUAAACCUACCGAGCCUAGUAAUAGCUGGUUGCCUGAGAAAUGAAUAGGAGUUCAGCCCUUUAAUGUCUUAAUUCCACCUCAGACUCGCUCACUUAAUGAUGAAAAGACACCAUAAAGGAGUUAUUCAAGAGAGGAACAGCUCUCUUGAAAGAAGAUACAACUUUGACAGAAGACUAAAGAUCAAAAGACAGAAACCAGAGUACCCAGGUGGGCCUAAAAGCAGCCA
RNAcentral lists this ribosomal RNA (376 nucleotides) under Bathygobius soporator (frillfin goby). Its description in RNAcentral is "partial large subunit ribosomal RNA". It matches the Rfam family "Bacterial large subunit ribosomal RNA", at positions 605 to 1118 of the family's 2925-position model. Lineage: Eukaryota; Metazoa; Chordata; Actinopteri; Gobiiformes; Gobiidae. The record is from RNAcentral.